Molecule: ribosomal RNA, 407 nt
Filed under: uncultured Microbacterium sp.
Lineage: Bacteria; Bacillati; Actinomycetota; Actinomycetes; Micrococcales; Microbacteriaceae
Description: bacterial SSU rRNA
Rfam family: Bacterial small subunit ribosomal RNA
Source: RNAcentral
UGGGGAAUAUUGCACAAUGGGCGGAAGCCUGAUGCAGCAACGCCGCGUGAGGGAUGACGGCCUUCGGGUUGUAAACCUCUUUUAGCAAGGAAGAAGCGAAAGUGACGGUACUUGCAGAAAAAGCGCCGGCUAACUACGUGCCAGCAGCCGCGGUAAUACGUAGGGCGCAAGCGUUAUCCGGAAUUAUUGGGCGUAAAGAGCUCGUAGGCGGUCUGUCGCGUCUGCUGUGAAAACCCGAGGCUCAACCUCGGGCCUGCAGUGGGUACGGGCAGACUAGAGUGCGGUAGGGGAGAAUGGAAUUCCUGGUGUAGCGGUGGAAUGCGCAGAUAUCAGGAGGAACACCGAUGGCGAAGGCAGUUCUCUGGGCCGUAACUGACGCUGAGGAGCGAAAGCGUGGGGAGCGAACA